This 295-nucleotide ribosomal RNA is filed under the name uncultured Anaerolineaceae bacterium. RNAcentral describes it as "partial 16S ribosomal RNA". It matches the Rfam family "Bacterial small subunit ribosomal RNA", at positions 1074 to 1382 of the family's 1533-position model. The record is from RNAcentral. Lineage: Bacteria; Bacillati; Chloroflexota; Anaerolineae; Anaerolineales; Anaerolineaceae.
UUCGGUUAAGUCCGCUAACCGAGCGCAACCCUCGCUGUGUGUUACAAGUGUCACACGGAACUGCCGGUCAUAAACCGGAGGAAGGUGGGGAUGACGUCAAGUCAGCAUGGCCUUUAUAUCCUGGGCUACACACACGCUACAAUGGGAAGGGACAAUAGGUUGCGAAGCCGCGAGGCGGAGCCAAUCCAGCAAAACUUCCCUCAGUUCAGAUUGCAGGCUGCAACUCGCCUGCAUGAAGUUGGAGUUGCUAGUAAACGCAGGUCAGCAUACUGCGGUGAAUACGUUCCCGGGCCUU